UAGCGGCAGGCUUAACACAUGCAAGUCGAGGGGUAUAUGUCUUCGGAUAUAGAGACCGGCGCACGGGUGCGUAACGCGUAUGCAAUCUACCUUUUACAGAGGGAUAGCCCAGAGAAAUUUGGAUUAAUACCUCAUAGUAUAGUGACUCGGCAUCGAGAUACUAUUAAAGUCACAACGGUAAAAGAUGAGCAUGCGUCCCAUUAGCUAGUUGGUAAGGUAACGGCUUACCAAGGCUACGAUGGGUAGGGGUCCUGAGAGGGAGAUCCCCCACACUGGUACUGAGACACGGACCAGACUCCUACGGGAGGCAGCAGUGAGGAAUAUUGGACAAUGGGCGCAAGCCUGAUCCAGCCAUGCCGCGUGCAGGAUGACGGUCCUAUGGAUUGUAAACUGCUUUUGUACGAGAAGAAACACUCCUACGUGUAGGAGCUUGACGGUAUCGUAAGAAUAAGGAUCGGCUAACUCCGUGCCAGCAGCCGCGGUAAUACGGAGGAUCCAAGCGUUAUCCGGAAUCAUUGGGUUUAAAGGGUCCGUAGGCGGUUUAGUAAGUCAGUGGUGAAAGCCCAUCGCUCAACGGUGGAACGGCCAUUGAUACUGCUAAACUUGAAUUAUUAGGAAGUAACUAGAAUAUGUAGUGUAGCGGUGAAAUGCUUAGAGAUUACAUGGAAUACCAAUUGCGAAGGCAGGUUACUACUAAUGGAUUGACGCUGAUGGACGAAAGCGUGGGUAGCGAACAGGAUUAGAUACCCUGGUAGUCCACGCCGUAAACGAUGGAUACUAGCUGUUGGAAGCAAUUUCAGUGGCUAAGCGAAAGUGAUAAGUAUCCCACCUGGG
This 834-nucleotide ribosomal RNA is filed under the name Flavobacterium sp. B183. RNAcentral's name for it is "bacterial SSU rRNA". It matches the Rfam family "Bacterial small subunit ribosomal RNA", at positions 37 to 877 of the family's 1533-position model. Lineage: Bacteria; Pseudomonadati; Bacteroidota; Flavobacteriia; Flavobacteriales; Flavobacteriaceae. The record is from RNAcentral.